This 885-nucleotide ribosomal RNA is filed under the name Enterococcus faecium. RNAcentral's name for it is "partial 23S ribosomal RNA". It matches the Rfam family "Bacterial large subunit ribosomal RNA", at positions 1 to 889 of the family's 2925-position model. The record is from RNAcentral. Lineage: Bacteria; Bacillati; Bacillota; Bacilli; Lactobacillales; Enterococcaceae.
GGUUAAGUGAAUAAGGGCGCACGGUGGAUGCCUUGGCACUAGGAGCCGAUGAAGGACGGGACUAACACCGAUAUGCUUUGGGGAGCUGUACGUAAGCUAUGAUCCAGAGAUUUCCGAAUGGGGGAACCCAACAUCUUUAAUAGGAUGUUACGAUUGUGUGAAUACAUAGCACAUUCGAGGUAGACGCAGAGAACUGAAACAUCUAAGUACCUGCAGGAAGAGAAAGAAAAUUCGAUUCCCUGAGUAGCGGCGAGCGAAACGGGAAAAGCCCAAACCAGCAAGCUUGCUUGUUGGGGUUGUAGGACUCCAAUAUGGUAGUUCUUUCAGAUAGUCGAAUGACUUGGAAAAGUCAGUCAAAGAGGGUAAAAACCCCGUAGACGAAAUGUGGAAGACACCUAGGAGGAUCCUGAGUACGGCGGAACACGAGAAAUUCCGUCGGAAUCCGGGAGGACCAUCUCCCAAGGCUAAAUACUCCCUAGUGACCGAUAGUGAACCAGUACCGUGAGGGAAAGGUGAAAAGCACCCCGGAAGGGGAGUGAAAUAGAACCUGAAACCGUGUGCCUACAACAAGUCAAAGCCCGUUAAUGGGUGAUGGCGUGCCUUUUGUAGAAUGAACCGGCGAGUUACGAUUGCAUGCGAGGUUAAGUUGAAGAGACGGAGCCGCAGCGAAAGCGAGUCUGAAUAGGGCGUUUGAGUAUGUAGUCGUAGACCCGAAACCAUGUGAUCUACCCAUGUCCAGGUUGAAGGUGCGGUAAAACGCACUGGAGGACCGAACCCACGUACGUUGAAAAGUGCGGGGAUGAGGUGUGGGUAGCGGAGAAAUUCCAAACGAACUUGGAGAUAGCUGGUUCUCUCCGAAAUAGCUUUAGGGCUAGCCUCGGAAUU